AAAUUUAAAAUGGAAUAA
Molecule: microRNA, 18 nt
Filed under: Corchorus olitorius
Lineage: Eukaryota; Viridiplantae; Streptophyta; Magnoliopsida; Malvales; Malvaceae
Also listed under: 1 other name
Description: cin-miR-4184-
Source: RNAcentral